GUGGGGAAUUUUGGACAAUGGGCGCAAGCCUGAUCCAGCAAUGCCGCGUGCAGGAAGAAGGCCUUCGGGUUGUAAACUGCUUUUGUACGGAACGAAACGGUCCUGGCUAAUACCCGGGGCUAAUGACGGUACCGUAAGAAUAAGCACCGGCUAACUACGUGCCAGCAGCCGCGGUAAUACGUAGGGUGCGAGCGUUAAUCGGAAUUACUGGGCGUAAAGCGUGCGCAGGCGGUGCUGUAAGACAGGCGUGAAAUCCCCGGGCUCAACCUGGGAAUUGCGCUUGUGACUGCAGUGCUGGAGUGCGGCAGAGGGGGAUGGAAUUCCGCGUGUAGCAGUGAAAUGCGUAGAUAUGCGGAGGAACACCGAUGGCGAAGGCAGUCCCCUGGGCCUGUACUGACGCUCAUGCACGAAAGCGUGGGGAGCAAACAGGAUUAGAUACCCGUGUAGUCC
This 450-nucleotide ribosomal RNA is filed under the name uncultured bacterium. RNAcentral's name for it is "partial 16S ribosomal RNA". It matches the Rfam family "Bacterial small subunit ribosomal RNA", at positions 354 to 796 of the family's 1533-position model. The record is from RNAcentral.